Molecule: non-coding RNA, 70 nt
Organism: Rattus norvegicus (Norway rat)
Lineage: Eukaryota; Metazoa; Chordata; Mammalia; Rodentia; Muridae
Source: Rfam
GGGGAUUUAGCUCAGUGGUAGAGCGCUUGCCUAGCAAGCGCAAGGCCCUGGGUUCGAUCCCCAGCUCCCA